Chelonoidis abingdonii (Abingdon island giant tortoise) is the source of this 7065-nucleotide RNA transcript. It is a transcript of the gene named carbohydrate sulfotransferase 7, with no coding region annotated. NCBI's taxonomy places the organism in Eukaryota, Metazoa, Chordata, Testudines, Testudinidae. The record is from RefSeq and is a predicted model, not a curated record.
CAGAAAUAGACAAAAUACUUCACAGCAGAUUACAGUUUAUACAUAAAGUUGUUUAUGGGUCAAACUCCACUAUCUGUAUAUGGGUGUAAUGUUGCUGAUUGCAGAGGUGAUACAUGUGUAUCACACAGUAGAAUCUGAUGCAAUAUCUGCUAAGUGUUAAGACAGUCCAGAAAUGGGGAACAAUAGCUACAUUUCAGGGACCAGGAUACAUGAAGAAACGGACUCAAUUAAACAAACAAGUUUGUUUUAUCAGAGAAAGAGAGAGAGAGAGAUGGACCAUGAGAAUGGGAACUGAGGUGUCAAUUAUCCAGAGAGGGGCUAUAUCAGAUGGUGGUAGGCAGCUUUAGAAGAUCUACCAUGCUUUGUGGGGACGUACCAAGCAGGAACAAAUAUUAGGGUAUUUGAUGGUGGCAAGGAAUGAGCUCAAGGAGAGAAAAUGUAAGGUUCCUCAAUUAAAAAUGGUAGCUGCAACUGUCAACAAACACAGAAUAACUGUAAUCACUCUAUCCCGCAUUAUUUAUUAAUUUGUUAAUUAGUGCCCCAUUAAUUUAAUGGUAUAAUCCAUUUUUAUAAACUAGUUUGUUAUGCAUCCAUUUUCAACUGCUGAUGAAGUAGGAGAAAUUACCUGUCAUAGCAUCGAAAUGCCAUCAGAAUAAAGCCAAGUUUUCAGGUUAUAAAUGUUCAUUACAGCAGCCACAAAAUGAAUUUAUCACUUCAAGCGCCUUUUGAUCUUGCCUCUGUGAAUAAAUGCAAAUUCUUGAAAAAUGGUUAAUUUAAUAAAAUGUAGCAACCACACACUUUAAAAAUAAGCCCCUAAUCCUGCAAAACUGUUCCAUGAAGGUGGGCCCUUCUGUUCCUAUGGAAUCAUAUUGAUUUCAGUAAGAUUCUGCAUAAACACAGGGAAUGAAUAGCUGGAUUUUGGACAACCUGAGAUAUGCAGAGUUAAUAUUAGGGAGACCAUAACAGAAAUACUUACAGGAAGGAAGAAAAGUGAAGACCUUUAUACAAAAGUUUUAACUGAGUAAUCAAUCUCCAGGGCAAAAGUUAGCACACAAAAGUGACACAAAUUGUUUUCCCAUAUACAUUCAUUUGAGACGUCUUUUUUCCCAGCAGGAGUGGAGUGCCCUCUUUUCUCUCCCCAAAUCCAAAAAAGCUGAUGGACGUGAAUCAAAGCACAAAAUUCAUUUCUCACUUGGCCCAGAUCCUCCACUGGAAUCCGCUAGUGCAGAAUCUUUACCUCUGCAGUCAGGACCAUAGUCUUUACAUGACAGUUCAUGUCAAACUAUCCUCUAGUGAAAAAUUCUGGAACUGCAAUAAUGGUAGCAAAUGUUUUCUCUUAAGAUUUACCUGCCCCUCCCCCCAACUCUCUACAGUACCAAAUCUGAAAUAUUUUUACGGUCUUUUGAAGAUAUUCUUACUUGCUGUGCAUCCAGUGCAACUUCUUAAAAAUAAAACUAAAUUCCUUUACAAUUUGCAGGGGGGGUUUCCUGAGCUUCUACUAAGGUUUAGAAGGCCUCCUGAGUGGGGAGAACAAGAGCAACAUUACUAGAGACCAAUGUGCCCUUCCUGUUCCUAGGAUCACAUGCCUACCCAUUGCCUGUUCAGUCUUAUCUGAUUGCUGUUCCUGGGAUAAACAUCCCUUUGCAGGGCCUAAGGGAGGCAAGUGACCGCUCCCCAAAGUAGUGUAUAAAACAAGAAGUGCAACAGGCUCGAAGAUGUUUCUCAUUUAUUAGGAUAUAAUUGUGUAACUGUUUACUUAUAACAGUAAUUAUUCAAUUUUCAGAUAGAAAUAUUAUUUUAAUUACCCCCACACACACCUUCUUUAUCUACUUCUCUACAUCCUAUGUAGAGGAUUGUGUGAGUUAGAAAGCUUGUCUCAAGAUCUGAACUUUCCGCAAGUUUGCAGUAGGUUUGGAUCUGAGGUUCCAGAGUAGGCCCAUCACUACUCUAAGGGUAUCAAUUUUGUAUCAGAAAAAGGUUUUGCAUCCCAUUUUUGUGGGAGGGUUUAAAUCAACCCCGGCACCUUUCUGCAGAACCCCUGGACGCUCCCAAAUCAUUUCUGGUAAGUGUGUGAUUCCUCUCUCUCAGUUCAUUGAUAGAUCGUCACCCCUUCACUAGAAAAAGGCCACCACUGCGGACAGUCUCGCUACUGGGUAGACCUGCAGAAGAAAGGGCAGAUUCAGUGCCACUGGCGCAAUUUGUACAGUGGUGCUGAAAGCCACUGAACAAAAUUAUAAACCUUCCCUGCAUAUGAGUGAAACCACUUCAAGACAGUUGCCCUUGGCUGGUUCCAGAAAGAGGCCACUGAAGGUUGCAGCCUGAUGGGGAGCAAGAGGCGACUCCUCAGCCAGCAGAGGCAGUUUUCUGUCUGUGGGGAACUUCAGCAACUGACUACGGAGAAAGAAGGCGGGGCCAGCAGCCUCUUUGCUGUUCUAGCCACGGAGUCUCCGGCACGUGGGCGUGUUUUUCCAGACGGGGAGGGCCCAUGGAGCCAACACCCCCAGGCGCCGCCCCCGCCCUCCCCCAAGUUUGUGCGCUUUCCAACAGGCAGGACUCUCUCUGUUGUUGUUGCGGCUCAGCCAGAGCCCAAGCGCAGGGCGGGCGGCGGCGGCUGCUUGCAGACGCCGCUGCCCGGCAGCACAGCGCAGCGGGGCGAUGAAGGGGCGGCGGUGGCGCUGGCAGCACCGCCGCCUCGCCCUGCUGCUGGUGCUCUACACGCUGCUGCUGCUGCUCCUGGUGCCCUACGUGCAGGACUACGGGGCCAGGCGGGGGCGCGGGGCGGAGGAGGCGCCGCUGCAGCCCCUCUGCCCCAGCCUGCAGGAGGCGCUGGGCGAGUGGGGCUGGGAGGAGGAGAAAGAGGAGGAGGAACAGUUGCCUGAGGGCGAGGGGGCGGCGGCUGACGGGAGCGAGGCCGGCGACGGCGGGAAGCGGCACAUCUACCUGCACGCCACCUGGCGCACGGGCUCCUCCUUCCUGGGGGAGCUGUUCAACCAGCACCCGGACGUCUUCUACCUCUACGAGCCCAUGUGGCACCUGUGGCAGGCCCUGUACCCGGCCGACGCGCUCAGCCUGCAGGGCGCCCUGCGCGACAUGCUCCGCUCGCUCUUCCGCUGCGACUUCUCCGUGCUGCGCCUCUACGCCGCCCCGCCCGCGCCCCGGGACCCACUGGCCCCUCCGGCCCCGGGCGGCGGCGGCGCCAACCUCACCACGGCCGGUCUCUUCGGCUGGCGGACCAACAAGGUGAUCUGCUCGGCCCCGCUCUGCCCGGACGCCCCCCGGGCCCGCCACGAGAUCGGCCUGAUCGACGGCGCCGCCUGCGAGCGGAGCUGCCCGCCGCGGGGGCUGCGGGAGCUGGAGGCCGAGUGCCGCAAGUACCCGGUGGUGGUGAUCAAGGACGUGCGGCUGCUGGAACUGGGCGCGCUGCUGCCGCUGCUGCGGGAGCCCGACCUCAACCUGCGGGUCAUCCAGCUCUUCCGCGACCCCCGCGCCGUGCACAACUCCCGCCUCAAGGCCAAGCAGGCGCUGCUGCGGGAGAGCAUCCAGGUGCUGCGGAGCCGGCACCGCGCCGAGCCCCGGGGACUCCCCCGCCGGCAGCUCCUGCCCGCGGCCGGGCUGGGCGGCGGCGGGAUCCGGGCGCAGCAGCAGCACCGGGCCGAGUUCUUCCUGAGCGGCGCGCUGGAGGUGAUCUGCCAGGCCUGGCUCCGCGACCUGCUCUUCUCCCGCCGCGCCCCGGCCUGGCUGCGCCGCCGCUACACCCAGCUGCGCUACGAGGACCUGGUGCGGGAGCCCCGCGCCCAGCUGCGCCGCCUGCUGCGCUUCGCCGGCCUGCGCGUGCCGCCCGCCAUGGAGAGCUUCGUGCUCAACAUGACCCGCGGUGCGGCUUACUCCUCCGACCGGCCCUUCCUCAUCUCCGCCCGGGACGCACGGGAGGCCAUCCACGCCUGGAGGGAGCGGCUCAGCCAGGAGCAGGUGCGCCAGGUGGAGGCCGCGUGCGGCGAAGCCAUGAGCCUCUUGUCCUACCCGCCCAGCGCCGAGCCCGGCGGCGGAGCCCAGGAGAGGGACAGCGGGUAGCGGCUGCCUUCUGGGCGGGACAUGCAGGUGGUCACUGAUGAACUGGUACUCCUCUUCUACGUGCCCAACUUGACACUGUGGUCUGACUAGCAGACAUGCAGAGCAUUCAGCAGUGAAACUGAAAUCAAUGGGAGCUGUGCUUGUGUAUAUAAAGUACUGUAUCAUGCUUGAAUUGCAGACAUUGGAAGGAUGUGUUACUGUAACAGCCAAGGACUGAAGAAAAAAUCACCCCGAAGAGACUACAUUCCACAUCCUUUCAGAACUUCAGUUUAUACUAACUGUACCGUUUUGCAUAGCAGAACAAAUUCUAAUCACCUAAAACAGGUGGACACGACGACUUCAUUUCCAGUAAGGAUAUGACAGUGCAAUAUGGACAACUAUGAACCUGCAAUAGGGAGUGGUUUAUUUUACAAUUUGAAGCUGCCAGUCUAUGGUCAAUUGUAGGUGCUUUUUAUGGCAACAAGGACACUUAAAUUUUUAAAGUUACUGACAAUACUUGGACAAAUCAUCUACCGUUGCAAAAACUCAGUAUUUGCAAGCGUAGUAUUUUACACUUCAGUAUUCAGUAAAAUUUUCACAGAUCCAGGUGGUGAGUUUUUCGAAGUGCUCUGCUUCCCCACCCUGUAACUGGGAAUUAUUUUAUCCUAAUACCAGGACUGUGUGUUUUAGAAUUCUGAAUACAGUAAAUUAUAUAGUAAGUUGUGAGUUUGAUUAUACAAACCCCCCAGGGGGAGGGGGGAGAGAAACAGUUGAAGUGCUGCUUCCGUUUCUACUGCAUUGUGACCUAAUUCACAGAAAGCACAGUAACGCCACACCAUACUCAUACAAGAAACUACACAGAAACCUCUGUUUGGGAGGGGAAAAAGUUCAGGGCUGAUCACUGGUGUCAGUUGGCAUAGCUGAGGUUCUGACCCCUUAUGUUAAGCUCUUACUGAAAUGCCAAGCUAAAAUCCACUUCAAGUUUGCCUAUAACUCAUUCCUUAAAUAACCCUUUGGUGCUGAGAGCUGGGAUUUCCACAGUGCUCAUUGUUAAUGUACUGUAUAGACCUUUUAAAAGAAUGCUAAGGCUAUGGGGCAUUUGUUCAAUGUGAUCUGGAUUUAAUUUAGCUCCAAAUUUAAGUUUUACAAAAGCUAGGACUAAUAGAAUUCCCAUAGAAAGCUGAUGAAUUAGCCAUUCCCUAUACAGCUGGAAAUCCUUUCAUUGCAGCUUUGUUAUGGAAUGCAAAUCUGAAAUGGACAUUUGUAUUUCUCUCAGUUUGGACAAGCAGGCCAGGUCUACAUUAGAAAUGUUUACUGCAUAGCAGUGCCUGUUAAGGGUGUGGAUUUUUUGUGACGUUUCCAUGCCUGCAAAAGCCUUAGUGUAGACAGUUGUAUUGGCAUAAGUGCUUUUGCUGCUCUAGCUUAUUUCAGUCACUGAACCUGUACAUCUGUAUCAGCAAAGUGCAGACUAGGCCUCAGUCACUCUAGCUGAACUUCUAACAGAGCAGUAAUUUACCAGUAGACUUAAAAUCUUAAGUGGUGGUAAUAGACAAGGAAUGUUAAAAAGGAUUAGCCUGACAGCGUACCAUGGACCUGUCCUUUUGUGCCUAAAUGCUUGUGGACAGGAGUCACUCUCAGUCAUGAUUUUGAUUGUUACAAACGUCAGUGCUCAGUGACAUCGGUAUAGAUUAGUCAGUAGAUCAAAUAGAGUAACUUGCAGAGGAAACAGCAUGGUGGCAUGCAAUAUGGAUUCAAAUGUGGCCAGCCUUGAUAUGCAGUGUGUGCACACAACAGUAUUUUGAAAGAUUCUGUAAAUAGAUGCACAUUCACCAGACUAAGAUUAGCAAAUCAGAAGUCGUCAUUCCAUAGUAAAUACUGAUUACUUUAAGAGUUUGGUUUGUGUAGCUUUGGGCAGCUGUUCUUUGAACUCUUCAGAAACAAUCUGCAGUGUAAUUAAAGCCACUUUCCCCUAACCCUGACCUGUACAUGUGAGCCACUGUUGAAGUAUACAUUUUUUCUAUUUUAUUUUUUAUGUCAAGUGGUGGAAGGGGAAGAGUUGUUACUGAAAGUAAAGUCCUCAUGUUGUCCCCUUAAUGUAUUUUGGAUCCUGCAGUCCUUCCCCUGGCAAAAAAUGUACUGAAGUUCAAUGGGAAUUCUGCUGAAUUUAGGACUUCAGCUUUAAGCACGGCAUGACUGUUGCCGGCAGUAUUUCUGUAUUAAAACUGCAUGUCUAAGCCAUUUCUUUGGCUUUCUAACUUACCAGUUCCUUCAAAGUUUCCCUCUUUUGGGAUGUAGGCUUAUUUUUUCUAUAUCUUAUUUUACAAAAUGGCAUAAAAACCCCAUAUUAGAGGCAUUUGGAUUUUUAUCAGAUGGAAUCAAACUGUCUUCCACAAGCUUAAAGCUUACAAUAUAAUGAAAGGAUAUUAAGCUACAUCACACUGCAAACCUGUCCUACUGAAACAGUAUUUUCAAAUACAAGAACAAAUCCUCUUUCUAAAUGUCCUCUGGCCCUACAGUGUACACUGGAUAUAUGAGAACCGUGCUCUUGUUACUGAGCUGUUCUGGUCCGCUUCACUCUCCUGAAGUUUGAACUGGAUCUUUCUAAGAUGUGAUAUUGCCUUCCUUGGAUUCCCCCUCUUCUUUCUGUUCUCUGGGAUUUUAGUCCAUGUACAUGAAGGGUAUUACUCCCACUACUCACAUCCCCCUGAGCCUCCCUGGCCUGUAAGCUGAAUAUUUUGAGAAAGUAAAUGGCUACUAAAUGACUCAUUGAAUACUGAGUUCGCUCUGACAGGCCAUUUUCCUAUCUUACAAGCUUAACUCUCAUGCUUUAACUUUUUUUUCAUUUAAGCACUUCAAUUCCAUUCUCACUCACGUGCAGAAGCAGGAAUUCUGCCAAAAUGGAGUUGGAGCAAGUUAUUAGUGGUGAGUUACAACUUCAAAACAGAAGUUCCAAAAGGCAACACUGAACGUUUCUCUGAAGGGUAUUAGAAUGAGUGUAGUGUUCUCAGGUUUACU